Molecule: ribosomal RNA, 465 nt
Filed under: Vreelandella stevensii
Lineage: Bacteria; Pseudomonadati; Pseudomonadota; Gammaproteobacteria; Oceanospirillales; Halomonadaceae
Description: partial 16S ribosomal RNA
Rfam family: Bacterial small subunit ribosomal RNA
Source: RNAcentral
CCUACGGGGGGCAGCAGUGGGGAAUAUUGGACAAUGGGGGGAACCCUGAUCCAGCCAUGCCGCGUGUGUGAAGAAGGCCCUCGGGUUGUAAAGCACUUUCAGUGAGGAAGAACGCCUGGUGGUUAAUACCCAUCAGGAAAGACAUCACUCACAGAAGAAGCACCGGCUAACUCCGUGCCAGCAGCCGCGGUAAUACGGAGGGUGCGAGCGUUAAUCGGAAUUACUGGGCGUAAAGCGCGCGUAGGUGGCUUGAUAAGCCGGUUGUGAAAGCCCCGGGCUCAACCUGGGAACGGCAUCCGGAACUGUCAAGCUAGAGUGCAGGAGAGGAAGGUAGAAUUCCCGGUGUAGCGGGGAAAUGCGUAGAGAUCGGGAGGAAUACCAGUGGCGAAGGCGGCCUUCUGGACUGACACUGACACUGAGGUGCGAAAGCGUGGGUAGCAAACAGGAUUAGAUACCCCGGUAGUC